CGGAGCCCUUCACGCCGUACUUGUCUGGCUGGCCUCGCUCGUCCAGGUCCUCCUCCUCAUCCGAAAAGAAGUAAGCCACCCCGACGCGUAGCUCGUCCUUCUCGAUCCCCGAGGGGUCCCCGGUCGGCAGCUCGCUGUAAUUCAGAAUAAGACAUGGAGUUCUGAAACAUUUUAUAUUUUAACACACCAUCAAAACAAUUGAACAGCAUCCAAGCAAUGCACAAGGAGUACAUAAAACAGAAAAUGGACAGCAAGUGCAGCAAGGUGAGCAGUCAAACUAUAGUCAGGCACAAUAUCAUCUCCAAAAACUGUAUCAACUGAACUGACUGAAACUCAUUUGCUGUUUCAUGACCCAUUUAACAGAAGACUCUGUAAUAAAUAAUGGCCAGUAUUCGCGAGCGAAGAUCCAGGGAAGGUCUUUACACCUUCCAGCCUGCGCAUUGGAUUUUUUAGGUAUAUCAGCCCUAGAGACCUUGUGUGCCACCGGAGGGACACGUGACAACAGCCAGCCUCGCUCUCAGGAAGGAACCCAGCAACCUGCCCUUGAGAAUCCUCAGCAGUCAGUCUCAGAGACAGUCUUUAAAAUUUGAUAUUUGCCCAAUGAUAAAUAUGGGAUGACACUGUCCAAGUCACCAUCUGAGAUUUUGUGGAAUUGGUUUGAAACUACUGAAAUAGCAGCAAUGAGAAACAGCAAGCUGUGUAUUCUUAGUGAAGGGAUACAACUUUUGAAACAGGAGACUGGCUGCCAUUUUGAUAUAAGGAAUAGCAGUACUGGAAAAAAUAAAAUAAACAAACCACCGAACACCUGAGCUGUAGUGCAGGACUCAAAAUCUGACGAUACCUGAAUACCUACUUCUGGUUCUUCCCAGAAGCCACGAGAAAAGCAUUCCCCCACACUUAGCUUCAGUAAGUAGUGGCUAUUAUUAGGAAAUAUUUAUACAACAUUACACCGCAAUGUUUAAAUCAAGCUAAAGAUCCUAAUGUAUUAAGGCACUACAUUAAAAAAACCAUUUCUAGACAAGAAAAUUGCAGUUUGAUAUUAACUGUUGUCAGAGAUCUACUCCAAAUAAUAUCUCCCUAGUCCAACAGACAGAAACUAACAGUACCAUCCUAUUUAUUUUCUCUCCUAAAGUAGCAUAUAAAGUCUUAUUAGACUCUAGUUCACCACUGCAUUCUGACAAAAUGUAUCUGAGACAAAGAAUACUUGUGUUUUCAGUGC
Long non-coding RNA from Myiozetetes cayanensis, 1219 nucleotides. RefSeq lists it as uncharacterized. The record is from RefSeq and is a predicted model, not a curated record. The transcript has 7 exons. Lineage: Eukaryota; Metazoa; Chordata; Aves; Passeriformes; Tyrannidae.